RNAcentral lists this ribosomal RNA (1115 nucleotides) under Limosilactobacillus fermentum. RNAcentral's name for it is "bacterial SSU rRNA". It matches the Rfam family "Bacterial small subunit ribosomal RNA", at positions 35 to 1107 of the family's 1533-position model. The record is from RNAcentral. Lineage: Bacteria; Bacillati; Bacillota; Bacilli; Lactobacillales; Lactobacillaceae.
GCGGCGGUGUGCCUAAUACAUGCAAGUCGAACGCGUUGGCCCGAUUGAUUGAUGGUGCUUGCACCUGAUUGAUUUUGGUCGCCAACGAGUGGCGGACGGGUGAGUAACACGUAGGUAACCUGCCCAGAAGCGGGGGACAACAUUUGGAAACAGAUGCUAAUACCGCAUAAUAACGUUGUUCGCAUGAACAACGCUUAAAAGAUGGCUUCUCGCUAUCACUUCUGGAUGGACCUGCGGUGCAUUAGCUUGUUGGUGGGGUAAUGGCCUACCAAGGCGAUGAUGCAUAGCCGAGUUGAGAGACUGAUCGGCCACAAUGGGACUGAGACACGGCCCAUACUCCUACGGGAGGCAGCAGUAGGGAAUCUUCCACAAUGGGCGCAAGCCUGAUGGAGCAACACCGCGUGAGUGAAGAAGGGUUUCGGCUCGUAAAGCUCUGUUGUUAAAGAAGAACACGUAUGAGAGUAACUGUUCAUACGUUGACGGUAUUUAACCAGAAAGUCACGGCUAACUACGUGCCAGCAGCCGCGGUAAUACGUAGGUGGCAAGCGUUAUCCGGAUUUAUUGGGCGUAAAGAGAGUGCAGGCGGUUUUCUAAGUCUGAUGUGAAAGCCUUCGGCUUAACCGGAGAAGUGCAUCGGAAACUGGAUAACUUGAGUGCAGAAGAGGGUAGUGGAACUCCAUGUGUAGCGGUGGAAUGCGUAGAUAUAUGGAAGAACACCAGUGGCGAAGGCGGCUACCUGGUCUGCAACUGACGCUGAGACUCGAAAGCAUGGGUAGCGAACAGGAUUAGAUACCCUGGUAGUCCAUGCCGUAAACGAUGAGUGCUAGGUGUUGGAGGGUUUCCGCCCUUCAGUGCCGGAGCUAACGCAUUAAGCACUCCGCCUGGGGAGUACGACCGCAAGGUUGAAACUCAAAGGAAUUGACGGGGGCCCGCACAAGCGGUGGAGCAUGUGGUUUAAUUCGAAGCUACGCGAAGAACCUUACCAGGUCUUGACAUCUUGCGCCAACCCUAGAGAUAGGGCGUUUCCUUCGGGAACGCAAUGACAGGUGGUGCAUGGUCGUCGUCAGCUCGUGUCGUGAGAUGUUGGGUUAAUCCCGCAACGAGCGCACCCUUGU